This 451-nucleotide ribosomal RNA is filed under the name uncultured bacterium. RNAcentral's name for it is "bacterial SSU rRNA". It matches the Rfam family "Bacterial small subunit ribosomal RNA", at positions 354 to 796 of the family's 1533-position model. The record is from RNAcentral.
GUGGGGAAUAUUGGACAAUGGGGGGAACCCUGAUCCAGCCAUGCCGCGUGUGUGAAGAAGGCCUUUUGGUUGUAAAGCACUUUAAGCGAGGAGGAGGCUACCGAGAUUAAUACUCUUGGAUAGUGGACGUUACUCGCAGAAUAAGCACCGGCUAACUCUGUGCCAGCAGCCGCGGUAAUACAGAGGGUGCAAGCGUUAAUCGGAUUUACUGGGCGUAACGCGCGCGUAGGUGGCCAAUUAAGUCAAAUGUGAAAUCCCCGAGCUUAACUUGGGAAUUGCAUUCGAUACUGGUUGGCUAGAGUAUGGGAGAGGAUGGUAGAAUUCCAGGUGUAGCGGUGAAAUGCGUAGAGAUCUGGAGGAAUACCGAUGGCGAAGGCAGCCAUCUGGCCUAAUACUGACACUGAGGUGCGAAAGCAUGGGGAGCAAACAGGAUUAGAUACCCCUGUAGUCC